GAACUGUCCGAGGAAAGUCCGAGCUCCACAGAGCAAGAAUAACGGCUAACGGCCGCCGGGGGCGACCCCAGGGAAAGUGCAACAGAGAUAUACCGCCUUAAAAUUUAAGGUAAGGGUGGAAAGGCGAGGUAAGAGCUCACCGGAGUCGGGGGAACCCGACUGCCAUGUAAACCCUAUUCGGAGCAACACCGUGGUAGGACAUAUACGCUUGCUCGGCGUGUCCUUUGGAGGUGGCACUGAGCAGUGCAGGCAACUCACUGCCAAGAUAGAUGGCUGUUCACGACAGAACUCGGCUUAUCGAUUUAGU
Molecule: RNase P RNA, 307 nt
Filed under: pig gut metagenome
Description: Bacterial RNase P class A
Rfam family: Bacterial RNase P class A
About the family: Ribonuclease P (RNase P) is a ubiquitous endoribonuclease, found in archaea, bacteria and eukarya as well as chloroplasts and mitochondria. Its best characterised activity is the generation of mature 5'-ends of tRNAs by cleaving the 5'-leader elements of precursor-tRNAs.
Source: RNAcentral